GAAAUGCGAUAAGUAAUGUGAAUUGCAGAAUUCAGUGAAUCAUCGAAUCUUUGAACGCACAUUGCGCCCGUUAGCAUUCUAGCGGGCAUGCCUGUCCGAGCGUCAUUUCAACCCUCAGGGUCCCCGUUCCGGCGGGGAACCUGGUGUUGGGGAUCGGCCCGCCCCGUGCGGCGCCGUCCCCCAAAUUCAGUGGCGGUCUCGCUGCAGCCUCCCCUGCGUAGUAGUUACAACCUCGCAUCGGAGCUCAGCGCGGCCACGCCGUAAAACCCCCGACUUUCUGAACGUUGACCUCGGAUCAGGUAGGAAUACCCGCUGAACUUAA
This 322-nucleotide unclassified non-coding RNA is filed under the name uncultured Stachybotrys. Its description in RNAcentral is "partial contains 5.8S ribosomal RNA, internal transcribed spacer 2, and large subunit ribosomal RNA". The stretch from base 1 to 105 matches the Rfam family "5.8S ribosomal RNA", at positions 50 to 154 of the family's 154-position model. The record is from RNAcentral. Lineage: Eukaryota; Fungi; Ascomycota. RNAcentral also lists the same sequence under 1 other name.